GAAAUAUAUUUAUAAUUAAACUUCUAAUUUAAUUUUUAGUGAAUAAUUCAUUAGUAUUUCU
This 61-nucleotide transfer RNA is filed under the name Coreana raphaelis (Korean hairstreak). RNAcentral's name for it is "tRNA-Ser". The record is from RNAcentral. Lineage: Eukaryota; Metazoa; Arthropoda; Insecta; Lepidoptera; Lycaenidae.